AUAUUUACUACUCUUUAUUUCUACUUUUUAUUUUCCUUUACUCUCUUCGUAAGAUUUUAGUAUUAUGUCUUUAUUUUAUAAUAAAAGUUGAUUUUUAAAAUAUGGUAUAUUUUUUCUAGUAUAGUUUCUAGAAUAGUUAUGUAACAAUUCUUUUGGUCGUUUUGAAUAUUAGAAUUUUUUAUUUCAUAAAUAUUUUUUCGAUAGAUUUUAAAUGAUUGUUUUGGACUAUUCAUAAUUAUAAUUAUGAAAUUAGUGGGAUAGUUUUAAUAAUUGAGUUAGUUGGGGGUUAAAGGAGAUAACUUUAAAAUUAAUAGUGGAUCGCUUUUAUAAUAGUAUACAAUUAGGGUGACAACUAAUCUGUAGAAAAGAAGAAAUAUAGACGCAUAAAAACCAAGUGAGAGGAAGGUUUACCUGUGCGGCUACACCAAAGAUCAAUUUGGAGUUCUUUUAGUGAGUUGAGGAACGUGCUGAUCGGGCAGUUGACAAUUUGUUAUAUGAAAAUGGUACGUAUCAAUUUGUUGUGGGUUUGUUCGGGUCAAGGCAGUAACAUAAUUGGGGGAUAAUUCUGGCAUCUUGAUGGGCCAGGUGCCAGGUAAAGGUGAUAGAAAAGUUGGGUUUCUGUAUGUUGGACCUUGGCUUGCAUAUAUUGCAGUGAAGUACUUUUAAAUCUUCACAAUAUACAUUAUAAUCAUAAUUUCUUCCCUUUGUUAUGUUGUUGGGUCAUCUUAGUAAAUUCUUCUUUAAUUUUUAUGUUCAUAACCUUAUAUAUUAAUUAGAGGAGCUUAUUAAAUAUUUAUAUUAGGUGAAAUAUUCUAAAAAUGUCUCCUGGGUUUCUGUAUUCCUGUUAGUUUCUUUGGUUAAACAAUUGUGGUCUCAUGUGUUAGCUGCCACAGGUAUCGUGACUAGUGAUUUCAGGUUUACCAUUGUUUAAACUAAAACUCAAUUUAUUGAGAUAGGUAAUUCAAUAUAAGGUAUAGUAUAUUAUAUAAGUUACAUUAAAGUGAUGUUAAUGGGAGGAAUUAAGAUCUACCCUUAGGUUUGAAUUUUGAGAAAUUGAUUAUAUAAUUAGGUGAGUUUUUGGGUCUAGGCUAAACAUAGACUAACCUAAGUGUUUAUAGACUCGUUAACUUACAAAUUGUGUAGAUUGGAAAGAUUCGGAGGCAAUAAGGAAAGGAAAGACAUUGGAGAAGUAGUUACUUGACUUCAAUUCUUCGGUGGAGGUAGGUUAUGGUUUAUUUCUAUUUGAUAGAUAAACUCUCAAUAGCGAUUGAUAUGUAUUAAGUGAUAUUGUAAAGUCUCCUAUGUACUUUAUGGUGUGGUUGUAUGUCUUGAUUGUAUGGUUUCUGGUUGGCUAAAAUUACGAGACUGCUGAAUUUCUAAUCUUGAACCAUUUCUAUUAAAAUGACGCCUUGAAUAAAGAAGAUUUGAUGAAAUAAAAUAAUGAGAUAAUUGGAUCGCAGUGUCACGUUCCGACAUGAUAUUAUUGGAUCGGAGUGUCACGUUCCGAAACAAUAACAUUAAAGGAAAUAAAUCUUGAACUAACUUAAUAUAUCUAAUCUCAAAGAACCUAUUUUCCAAAUGAGUAUGGUGUGGAGCCAUGAGUCCUCAUAGGUGUGCUUGAUGGUGUACAUGUUAUGUUGUUGUUGUUAAUGGUUCAUGUGUUUUGUUGCUUGCCACCUGUUAAGUAUUGUAGUUGAUUUUAUAUUAUUAUUCAAUAUAUAUUGAUUAUUAUUUUGAGUUGACCGAUGAUACCUACUCAGUACGUGUUCCUUGUACUGACCCCUACUUGUAUUUUCUUCUCUGUUUUUUUGUGGAGUGCAACAAGUGUACCAUUGACUACGACUCGCCCUCAUCUCUAACCAGUCUCCAGCACAUCAGAGUUCAGGAUCUAUGAUGAUGGGAGUUAUAUAGCUGAAAAUUUAAUAGGAGUUUCAAGUUUGAUGUGAUUGAGAUUGACUUCAACUCUAUACCUUGAUUUUUCGGUAUCAAUGCGGCGUUGCUCAGGCGUUAAACCGUUGCUUGAAGCUCCGAGGAAGAAAGGAUUAUAGUUUGCAAAAUUGUUCUAUAACUUUUUUUUUCUUUUGAUUUUGUUAGUUUUAAUUUUUCAUUUGAUUUGAGUGUUUUAGUUUGACUUUUUUUUUUUGAAAAAAUCAAAACAAAUAAAGAAAAAAAAUGAAAAGAAUAUUAAAAAUAUUUUUUUUAAUGUUAAUCAUUGGUCUUCACUCUCUCAAAGCGAGUGAAAUACACUCACUUUGCCACACAAUCAUUUAAGGAGGUAAUAAUUUUAAUUUUAGUUUUAAAUAGUUAGGGAGGUAAUAGGAUCCCCGUAGAGUAUAAGUGUGUAGCUGAAAAUUCGGUAAUAGGUUGGGAGGUCAUUUGACCAUUUUCUCUAUAAAGUUUAAUCUACUCUCUAGACCUCUCCAGUAGAAGCUGUUGAUCCUCUUGUUGGUAC
Molecule: long non-coding RNA, 2452 nt
Filed under: Solanum lycopersicum (tomato)
Lineage: Eukaryota; Viridiplantae; Streptophyta; Magnoliopsida; Solanales; Solanaceae
Description: partial TCONS_00117748
Source: RNAcentral